This 245-nucleotide ribosomal RNA is filed under the name uncultured bacterium. Its description in RNAcentral is "partial 16S ribosomal RNA". It matches the Rfam family "Bacterial small subunit ribosomal RNA", at positions 88 to 334 of the family's 1533-position model. The record is from RNAcentral.
AUGGCGACCGGCGCACGGGUGAGUAACACGUAUCCAACCUGCCGAUAACUCGGGGAUAGCCUUUCGAAAGAAAGAUUAAUACCCGAUGGUAUAAUUAGACCGCAUGGUCUUGUUAUUAAAGAAUUUCGGUUAUCGAUGGGGAUGCGUUCCAUUAGGCAGUUGGUGAGGUAACGGCUCACCAAACCUUCGAUGGAUAGGGGUUCUGAGAGGAAGGUCCCCCACAUUGGAACUGAGACACGGUCCAA